UGCCAGACAUGAGUAUGCAAUGUUCCAGCUCAGAGGCACAUCCAAAGUCUUUCAGCAAACUACCCUGCUGAAGACCCACGGAAACGCCUUGGGAUGCGGCCAGCAUGGGGUGUGACGGCAGGGCAUGGGAGAUUCCAGGAAGAGCCCAUCUCACAUGAAAUGUAUGUGGAUUCCCACAGAUACAGCCACAUCUAAAUGCACAUGGAUCUCUGGAUCAGCGCAUAUGAAGACAGCCACUCCUCAAAGUAAACAAAAUGCAGAGGUUUCUUCCCUGAGUCUAUCUUUGUGGUUGAGUUACCACAAUCACUUGUUAAACAUCUGCAAUUUUGUCUCUCUGCUGGGAUGCAUACUUUUGCUGAUGUCACAUCCUGAUAACUUCAGUGCAUUUGUGGUAUCUUUAUAAGUGAUUCUUUCUGCCUCUCUCCCAAGGAGUUACCGGGGGCCCAAAAUCUGGCUUGCGCCUGUGUCCCAUUUGCUAGAUGGCCACAGUAUAUAAAAAUAUUGAAGCUAAA
This is a long non-coding RNA of Podarcis muralis (Common wall lizard), 512 nucleotides long. RefSeq lists it as uncharacterized. The record is from RefSeq and is a predicted model, not a curated record. Lineage: Eukaryota; Metazoa; Chordata; Lepidosauria; Squamata; Lacertidae.